RNAcentral lists this unclassified non-coding RNA (145 nucleotides) under Scolecobasidium fusiforme. RNAcentral's name for it is "sequence contains ITS2". RNAcentral also lists the same sequence under 2 other names. The record is from RNAcentral. Lineage: Eukaryota; Fungi; Ascomycota; Dothideomycetes; Venturiales; Sympoventuriaceae.
CAACACUCAAGCUCUGCUUGGUCUUGAGCCCCGCCGGCAACGGCAGGCUUUAAAAUCAGUGGCGGCGCCCCCUGGCUCUAAGCGUAGUAAUACACCCCGCUACAGAGUCCCGGUGGAUGCUUGCCAGCAACCCCCAACUUUCUAA